Molecule: non-coding RNA, 78 nt
Filed under: uncultured Bolidomonas
Lineage: Eukaryota; Bolidophyceae
Source: RNAcentral
CUAUUUCUCAUUUUCUCGUUUCCUCGUAAAUUUAUUUAUGCCAUAUAUUAUUGCGUCUAUAUUAUUGAUUUAAGUGGC